AGAGUUUGAUCCUGGCUCAGGAUAAACGCUGGCGGCGUGCCUAACACAUGCAAGUCGAACGCCCUUGCGAAAGCGAGGGAGUGGCGGACGGGUGAGUAACGCGUGGGUGAACCUACCCCGAAGUGAGGAAUACCACCGGGAAACCGGUGACAAGACCGCAUAAGCUUUGAGAGAAGGAAAGCUUCGAAAGAGGCGCUUUG
RNAcentral lists this ribosomal RNA (200 nucleotides) under uncultured bacterium. RNAcentral's name for it is "partial 16S ribosomal RNA". It matches the Rfam family "Bacterial small subunit ribosomal RNA", at positions 8 to 222 of the family's 1533-position model. The record is from RNAcentral.